Molecule: transfer RNA, 83 nt
Filed under: Cercophora newfieldiana
Lineage: Eukaryota; Fungi; Ascomycota; Sordariomycetes; Sordariales; Lasiosphaeriaceae
Rfam family: tRNA
About the family: Transfer RNA (tRNA) molecules are approximately 80 nucleotides in length. Their secondary structure includes four short double-helical elements and three loops (D, anti-codon, and T loops).
Source: Rfam by way of RNAcentral
GGUUGUGUAGUGUAGCGGUUAUCACUCCGGAUUCUGAUCAUUAGAAACUUCCGGCAACCCCGGUUCGAUUCCGGGCACGACCU